Molecule: ribosomal RNA, 1338 nt
Filed under: uncultured bacterium
Lineage: Bacteria
Description: bacterial SSU rRNA
Rfam family: Bacterial small subunit ribosomal RNA
Source: RNAcentral
CGAACGAAGCACUUUAACCUGAUUCUCCCGAUGAAGGUUUUUGUGACUGAGUGGCGGACGGGUGAGUAACGCGUGGGUAACCUGCCUCAUAGAGGGGGAUAACAGUUAGAAAUGACUGCUAAUACCGCAUAAGACCCCCGGAGCCGCAUGGCUCAGUGGGAAAAACUCCGGUGGUAUGAGAUGGACCCGCGUCUGAUUAGGUAGUUGGUGGGGUAACGGCCUACCAAGCCAACGAUCAGUAGCCGACCUGAGAGGGUGACCGGCCACAUUGGGACUGAGACACGGCCCAAACUCCUACGGGAGGCAGCAUUGGGGGAAUAUUGCACAAUGGGGGAAACCCUGAUGCAGCGACGCCGCGUGAGCGAAGAAGUAUUUCGGUAUGUAAAGCUCUAUCAGCAGGGAAGAAAAUGACGGUACCUGACUAAGAAGCACCGGCUAAAUACGUGCCAGCAGCCGCGGUAAUACGUAUGGUGCAAGCGUUAUCCGGAUUUUACUGGGUGUAAAGGGAGCGUAGACGGCUGUGUAAGUCUGAAGUGAAAGCCCGGGGCUCAACCCCGGGACUGCUUUGGAAACUAUGCAGCUAGAGUGUCGGAGAGGUAAGUGGAAUUCCCAGUGUAGCGGUGAAAUGCGUAGAUAUUGGGAGGAACACCAGUGGCGAAGGCGGCUUACUGGACGAUGACUGACGUUGAGGCUCGAAAGCGUGGGGAGCAAACAGGAUUACGCUACCCUGGUAGUCCACGCCGUAAACGAUGACUACUAGGUGUCGGGGAGCAAAGCUCUUCGGUGCCGCAGCAAACGCAAUAAGUAGUCCACCCGGGGAGUACGUUCGCAAGAAUGAAACUCAAAGGAAUUGACGGGGACUCGCACAAGCGGUGGAGCAUGUGGUUUAAUUCGAAGCAACGCGAAGAACCUUACCUGCUCUUGACAUCCCGGUGACCGGCAUGUAAUGAUGCCUUUUCUUCGGAACACCGGUGACAGGUGGUGCAUGGUUGUCGUCAGCUCGUGUCGUGAGAUGUUGGGUUAAGUCCCGCAACGAGCGCAACCCUUAUCUUCAGUAGCCAGCAAUUCGGAUGGGCACUCUGGAGAGACUGCCAGGGAUAACCUGGAGGAAGGUGGGGAUGACGUCAAAUCAUCAUGCCCCUUAUGAGCAGGGCUACACACGUGCUACAAUGGCGUAAACAAAGGGAAGCGAGCCUGCGAGGGUAAGCAAAUCUCAAAAAUAACGUCUCAGUUCGGAUUGUAGUCUGCAACUCGACUACAUGAAGCUGGAAUCGCUAGUAAUCGCGAAUCAGCAUGUCGCGGUGAAUACGUUCCCGGGUCUUGCACUCACGGCCCCUC